Molecule: ribosomal RNA, 253 nt
Filed under: uncultured bacterium
Lineage: Bacteria
Description: partial 16S ribosomal RNA
Rfam family: Bacterial small subunit ribosomal RNA
Source: RNAcentral
UACAGAGGGUGCAAGCGUUAAUCGGAAUUACUGGGCGUAAAGCGUGCGUAGACGGUUACGUAAGUCGGGUGUGAAAGCCCCGGGCUCAACCUGGGAAUUGCAUUCGAGACUGCAUAGCUAGGGUGCGGAAGAGGGAAGCGGAAUUUCCGGUGUAGCGGUGAAAUGCGUAGAUAUCGGAAGGAACACCAGUGGCGAAAGCGGCUUCCUGGUCCAGCACCGACGUUCAGGCACGAAAGCGUGGGGAGCAAAAGGG